This is a long non-coding RNA of Oncorhynchus tshawytscha (Chinook salmon), 787 nucleotides long. Lineage: Eukaryota; Metazoa; Chordata; Actinopteri; Salmoniformes; Salmonidae. The record is from Ensembl.
CUGUUACCUGUCCCAGAGUGUCUAAUGUUGUCUGUUGCCUGUCCCAAGGAGGGAUGAGGAGUAAGUAACACUUACACUUAGUAAAGAGGAGCAGAGACGAGCAGAGAGGAGGCGAGGAGAGGAGGCAAGGAGAGGAGCAGAGAGGAGGCGAGGAGAGGAGGCAAGGAGAGGAGCAGAGAAGAGCAGAGAGGAGCAGAGAGGAGGCGAGGAGAGGAGCAGAGAGGAGCAGAGAGGAGAGGAGGUGAGGAGAGGAGGCAAGGAGAGAAGCAGAGAAGAGCAGAGAGGAGCAGAGAGGAGGCGAGGAGAGGAGAAUAGAGGAGCAGAGAGGAGGUGAGGAGAGGAGGCAAGGAGAGGAGUAGAGAAGAGCAGAGAGGAGCAGAGAGGAGGAGAGGAGAGGAGAGGAGCAGAGAGGAGGCGAGGAGAGGAGCAGAGAGGGGGUGGGGAGAGGAGCAGAGAGGAGGUGAGGAGAGGAGCAGAGAGGAGGUGAGGAGAGGAGCAGAGAGGAAGUGAGGAGAGGAGCAGAGAGGAGGUGAGGAGAGGAGCAGAGAGGAGGUGAGGAGAGGAGCAGAGAGGAGGUGAGGAGAGGAGCAGAGAGGAAGUGAGGAGAGGAGCAGAGAGGAGGAGAGGAGAGGAGGCAAGGAGAGGAGUAGAGAAGAGCAGAGAGGAGCAGAGAGGAGGAGAGGAGAGGAGCAGAGAGGGGGCGAGGAGAGGAGCAGAGAGGGGGUGGGGAGAGGAGCAGAGAGGAGGUGAGGAGAGGAGCAGAGAGGAGGUGAGGAGAGGAGCAGAG